UGCUGUGUAGCUAAGUGGUAAAGCCCUGGCCUCAUAAGCCAGUGAUGCGUCGGUUCGAUCCCGUCCACAGCAA
Molecule: transfer RNA, 73 nt
Filed under: Rhodoferax antarcticus ANT.BR
Lineage: Bacteria; Pseudomonadati; Pseudomonadota; Betaproteobacteria; Burkholderiales; Comamonadaceae
Rfam family: tRNA
About the family: Transfer RNA (tRNA) molecules are approximately 80 nucleotides in length. Their secondary structure includes four short double-helical elements and three loops (D, anti-codon, and T loops). Further hydrogen bonds mediate the characteristic L-shaped molecular structure. tRNAs have two regions of fundamental functional importance: the anti-codon, which is responsible for specific mRNA codon recognition, and the 3' end, to which the tRNAs corresponding amino acid is attached (by aminoacyl-tRNA synthetases). tRNAs cope with the degeneracy of the genetic code in two manners: having more than one tRNA (with a specific anti-codon) for a particular amino acid; and 'wobble' base-pairing, i.e. permitting non-standard base-pairing at the 3rd anti-codon position.
Source: Rfam by way of RNAcentral